This 784-nucleotide ribosomal RNA is filed under the name uncultured Neocallimastigales. RNAcentral's name for it is "partial large subunit ribosomal RNA". It matches the Rfam family "Eukaryotic large subunit ribosomal RNA", at positions 24 to 629 of the family's 3401-position model. The record is from RNAcentral. Lineage: Eukaryota; Fungi; Neocallimastigomycota; Neocallimastigomycetes; Neocallimastigales.
UUAUCUCUGUAGAGUCUGCAUAUCAAUAAGCGGAGGAAAAGAAACUAACAAGGAUUCCCUUAGUAACGGCGAGUGAAGCGGGAAGAGCUCAAAUUUGAAAUCUUCAAGGUUUUACCUUGACGAAUUGUAGUUUAAAGAAGUGUUUUCUAUUGGUGUUUUGGUAAAAGUUCUUUGGAAUAGGACAUCAUAGAGGGUGAGAAUCCCGUAUUUGACCAUUACUUCCAGCGUUGUGAUACACUUUCAAAGAGUCGGAUUGUUUGGGAAUGCAGUCCAAAAUGGGUGGUAAAUUUCAUCUAAAGCUAAAUAUUGGCGAGAGACCGAUAGCGAACAAGUACCGUGAGGGAAAGAUGAAAAGAACUUUGAAAAGAGAGUUAAACAGUACGUGAAAUUGUCAAAAGGGAAGCGUUUGACACCAGUGUUGUUUUUCCGAAAAUCAAUUACAAAAUGGCAGUGAUUCUGUGUUGUAUUGACCUUAUCAGCUUUCUGCACUCUUUUUUGAGUCUUUUCUUAAUGCACUUUUCGUCUAACAAGUCGAACAUCAAUUUCUUUUGUUGUAAAAGAGGUCAUUGGAAGGGUGGCUUUCCUUUCGGAUGAAAGUGUUUAUAGCCUUUGACUUCUGCAAUCGGAGAGAUUGAGGUCUGCAGCGUAGAUCCUUCUGGAUUAGAUACACUUGUGCUAAGUUUAAACCGUUUCAUAGACAACUUGUUGACUAUUUAGAUCAUGUCGCUUACUCGCUUAUGCUAAUUUUACCUACGCUUAGGAUGUUGACGAGACUGUCGAUCUC